GUUAUUAGAAAACACUCCAAAAUAUGUAAAUUGGUUUUUAUAAAGCACCCCAAAUGAUAUAAUUUAGGUAUUAGAAAACACCCCAAAAUUUAUGCAUUUGUUACUAGAAAACACCCCAAAGCUUAUGCAUUGGGUAUUAUAAAACAGCUGAAAGUUUUUGCAGUGGGUAAUACAAAACACCACAAACUUUUUCGUAGAUGAUAUAAUAAAUAAAAAAGAUAUUACGGAGUCUCCAAUUUUGGUCUGAUAAUGUACAUGUAUAAUAAAACGAC
Molecule: long non-coding RNA, 272 nt
Filed under: Mytilus galloprovincialis (Mediterranean mussel)
Lineage: Eukaryota; Metazoa; Mollusca; Bivalvia; Mytilida; Mytilidae
Source: RNAcentral